Molecule: non-coding RNA, 96 nt
Organism: Mycena polygramma
Lineage: Eukaryota; Fungi; Basidiomycota; Agaricomycetes; Agaricales; Mycenaceae
Source: the annotation of a GenBank genome assembly
GGCCUGGUGGCGCAUGGCCGCGCGGCUGCUGAAUUUGGAAAAUCUGAACACAAUGUUUGGACGCAGAAGGCCCCCGUUCGAUUCGGGGCUGGGUCG